Molecule: ribosomal RNA, 484 nt
Filed under: uncultured bacterium
Lineage: Bacteria
Description: partial 16S ribosomal RNA
Rfam family: Bacterial small subunit ribosomal RNA
Source: RNAcentral
AUUGAACGCUGGCGGCAUGCUUUACACAUGCAAGUCGAACGGCAGCGCGGGCUUCGGCCUGGCGGCGAGUGGCGAACUGGUGAGUGAUGCAUCGGAACGUGCCCAGCAGCGGGGGCUAGCCCGGCGACAGCCGGAUUAAUACCCCAUAAGAGCUGAGGGUGUAAGCGGGGGACCGAAAGGUCUUCGGCCCUUGGACGGGCCGAUGUCGGAUUAGCUAGUUGGUGGGGUAAAGGCUUACCAAGGCGACGAUCCGUAGCUGGUCUGAGAGGACGACCAGCCACACUGGGACUGAGACACGGCCCAGACUCCUACGGGAGGCAGCAGUGGGGAAUUUUGGACAAUGGGGGCAACCCUGAUCCAGCCAUGCCGCGUGCGGGAAGAAGGCCUUCGGGUUGUAAACCGCUUUUGUUCGGGAAGAAAUCCUCUGGGCUAAUACCCCGGGGGGAUGACGGUACCGAAAGAAUAAGCACCGGCUAACUACGUG